Molecule: long non-coding RNA, 216 nt
Organism: Ipomoea nil (Japanese morning glory)
Lineage: Eukaryota; Viridiplantae; Streptophyta; Magnoliopsida; Solanales; Convolvulaceae
Exons: 3
Source: RefSeq, a predicted model, not a curated record
GGAAGCCAAUGGUUAUCAUCAAACUAACCAAUGGUUUCAUGCAAAUGCCCGAUACAACCUGGAGAUUAUGAGUGUGGAUAUUAUGUCAUGCGAUACAUGUUUGGUAUCGUGACAAAAUAUUCAUCUAUUGAUGAUUUGGAUAAGGCAUUUGAAAGCGAUAGUCCGUACUCCAUCAAUGACAUAAAUGAGAUUUGGGAGCAAUGGGCAAAAUACUUC